GUCAGCUUUCAGUAUAAUCUUUUCUUCCUGCAGGCCCUAGAGAUUUGGUCUGCUCACCUUUCUUCUUUCAGGCUGUCACCACCAAUUCUCCUUCCUAUGGUUCAUCUUCCACCAGAAUUCUAGGGCUUGUAAAUGCUCCAAUUUAUCUUCCUAUAGCUGAUGCUUGAAAGAGAGUAAAAGAUAUUACAGAAGAUCACACAUAUCAAGUUUUACAUUUUAAGAAAUAAAUGGAAGAAGAGA
Cebus imitator (Panamanian white-faced capuchin) is the source of this 240-nucleotide long non-coding RNA. RefSeq lists it as uncharacterized. NCBI's taxonomy places the organism in Eukaryota, Metazoa, Chordata, Mammalia, Primates, Cebidae. The record is from RefSeq and is a predicted model, not a curated record. The transcript has 2 exons.